GACGAACGCUGGCGGCGUGCCUAAUACAUGCAAGUUGAGCGAUGAAGCUUGGUGCUUGCACCAAUUUGAAGAGCAGCGAACGGGUGAGUAACGCGUGGGGAAUCUGCCUUUGAGCGGGGGACAACAUUUGGAAACGAAUGCUAAUACCGCAUAACAACUUUAAACAUAAGUUUUAAGUUUGAAAGAUGCAAUUGCAUCACUCAAAGAUGAUCCCGCGUUGUAUUAGCUAGUUGGUGAGGUAAAGGCUCACCAAGGCGAUGAUACAUAGCCGACCUGAGAGGGUGAUCGGCCACAUUGGGACUGAGACACGGCCCAAACUCCUACGGGAGGCAGCAGUAGGGAAUCUUCGGCAAUGGGCGAAAGUCUGACCGAGCAACGCCGCGUGAGUGAAGAAGGUUUUCGGAUCGUAAAACUCUGUUGGUAGAGAAGAACGUUGGUGAGAGUGGAAAGCUCAUCAAGUGACGGUAACUACACAGAAAGGGACGGCUAACUACGUG
This 497-nucleotide ribosomal RNA is filed under the name uncultured bacterium. RNAcentral describes it as "partial 16S ribosomal RNA". It matches the Rfam family "Bacterial small subunit ribosomal RNA", at positions 28 to 507 of the family's 1533-position model. The record is from RNAcentral.